RNAcentral lists this ribosomal RNA (497 nucleotides) under uncultured bacterium. Its description in RNAcentral is "partial 16S ribosomal RNA". It matches the Rfam family "Bacterial small subunit ribosomal RNA", at positions 28 to 507 of the family's 1533-position model. The record is from RNAcentral.
GAUGAACGCUGGCGGCGUGCCUAAUACAUGCAAGUCGAGCGAACAGACGAGGAGCUUGCUCCUCUGACGUUAGCGGCGGACGGGUGAGUAACACGUGGAUAACCUACCUAUAAGACUGGGAUAACUUCGGGAAACCGGAGCUAAUACCGGAUAACAUUUUGAACCGCAUGGUUCAAAAGUGAAAGACGGUCUUGCUGUCACUUAUAGAUGGAUCCGCGCUGCAUUAGCUAGUUGGUAAGGUAACGGCUUACCAAGGCAACGAUGCGUAGCCGACCUGAGAGGGUGAUCGGCCACACUGGAACUGAGACACGGUCCAGACUCCUACGGGAGGCAGCAGUAGGGAAUCUUCCGCAAUGGGCGAAAGCCUGACGGAGCAACGCCGCGUGAGUGAUGAAGGUCUUCGGAUCGUAAAACUCUGUUAUUAGGGAAGAACAAAUGUGUAAGUAACUGUGCACGUCUUGACGGUACCUAAUCAGAAAGCCACGGCUAACUACGUG